This 470-nucleotide ribosomal RNA is filed under the name uncultured bacterium. RNAcentral describes it as "partial 16S ribosomal RNA". It matches the Rfam family "Bacterial small subunit ribosomal RNA", at positions 28 to 507 of the family's 1533-position model. The record is from RNAcentral.
GACGAACGCUGGCGGCGUGCUUAACACAUGCAAGUCUGGGGGCGGGGCGACCCGUCCCCGGCGAACGUGUGCGGAACACGUGAGCGACCUGCCCUGUGUGUGGGGGAUAGCCGGCCCAACGGCCUGUUAAUACCGCAUACGUCCCGCGCUUGGAGGCGCUGGGAGAAAGCCCGGAAGGGCGCACGAGGAGGGGCUCGCGGCCUAUCAGCUAGUUGGGGGGGUAACGGCCCACCAAGGCGACGACGGGUAGCUGGUCUGAGAGGAUGGCCAGCCACAUUGGGACGGAGAGAAGGCCCAGAGUAGGACGGGAGGCAGAAGUGGGGAAACUUGCGGAAGGGGGGAAAGACGGAAGCAGAGACGGAGAGGGGAGGAUGAGGACCUUAGGGGUGUAAAAUCGUGUGGAACGGGACGAACGGCGGGAAGCGGACCGAUUGACGGUACCGGGUGAGGAAGCACCGGCUAACUCUGUG